Molecule: ribosomal RNA, 106 nt
Filed under: Propithecus coquereli (Coquerel's sifaka)
Lineage: Eukaryota; Metazoa; Chordata; Mammalia; Primates; Indriidae
Source: RNAcentral
GUUUAUAGCUAUGAAUAUACCUGUUCUGAUGUUGGAAGCUAAGCAGGGUCAGGCCUGGUUAGUACUUGGAUGGCAGACUGCCUGGGAAUACUGGGUGCUGUAGGCU